GAGAGGAACAGAACAAAACAAAACAAACAACGCGCUCAUCCACAACAUCGAUAAGUUCUAAUCUCAGAGGCCAGAGCAGUGUGAAUGGAAAAUUAGAAGGAAGUAGAAGGUGUAAUUCCAGAACACUGGAUCAAAGUGUGUGGCGGCCCCCAAAUAAAUAUGACAAAGCAGUAAAGGAUUGGUACACACCCUCUCUGAAAUGGAAGUCCUUUCAGCUUCUGAGGAUAAAACUCACAUCAGAAUCAAAACAACAUUGGGAAGACGUCGAAAUUACUGAAGCCAGUGAAGUGGAGAUGUCCAAGAGAAACCGAACUGGCAAAGGUCUACCCAAGCUCCCACCAAAAUAUUCCCCAAAGCACCAGAAAACCUGUGCCACCGCUACCAAGAAGCAAAAAGCUAAUACGCAGCACAAACCACCAAGAAGAUCCGGCCCUGGGGAAUGACGUCGGCCGAUUUUAUAAAAACACUCACGGACGUCUAGUAAUGGACCGUACAUUUGCAAUAUGGAGAUCCUCAUCAACCAUACGGGUAAUGCCAUCGGCGUCCCUUAUGCUUAACCCUGGAGCUUGAGGGCUUGAGGUCUCCUACCUCCUUAAUUGAGGGAUCCCCCUUACCAAAUCGCUGCAAAGGAUCAGAACCUUUUUUUGUGACAGAUGCAAAAAACCUGUGCCAGUACCGCUAAGAAGCAAAAGGCUUAAAUUUCCUGCAAGACACCAAGUGUGAGGAUGGGGAAACGGCAAACUAAAACGCUGCACAAGUCAGACGAGAUGAGAGAUCCCACCCCCAUCACCAAAAUCGAAUUCGACUUUAACCUGAACUAGACGGAGGACUAUUUACUAAAGAUGGAAGAGCAGCUAAUGGAGAAGGAUUUUUUUAAAUACAUGAUACAGAAUCUCAAAGCUGGGGGGAGAGACAUCCCAGACUGGGUGAAGUGAGCAAUGCACCGAACCCUGAUAACCGGCCUCAUGUCAUCGAAGAAUAUGAAAGGGAAGAGGGCCUUUGAGAACUCCAACCUUUGCAGACAUUAUAGCAGGUGAAAGUCUUUGCGAAUCAAUGCUACAGAGGCAAACAUAGUACAGGCAAUGCCAACCUGCCUGAAAUAUGCACCUAACCGCAA
Molecule: long non-coding RNA, 1117 nt
Organism: Oncorhynchus tshawytscha (Chinook salmon)
Lineage: Eukaryota; Metazoa; Chordata; Actinopteri; Salmoniformes; Salmonidae
Source: Ensembl